UACGGAGGGUGCAAGCGUUAUUCGGAUUUACUGGGCUUAAAGGGUGUGUAGGCGGGCUUUUAAGUCAGUGGUGAAAUCUCCGGGCUCAACCUGGAAACUGCCAUUGAUACUAUUAGUCUUGAAUUUUGUUGAGGUAGGCGGAAUAAGUCAUGUAGCGGUGAAAUGCAUAGAUAUGACUUAGAACACCAAUUGCGAAGGCAGCUUGCUAAACAAAUAUUGACGCUGAGGCACGAAAGCGUGGGGAUCAAACAGG
RNAcentral lists this ribosomal RNA (253 nucleotides) under uncultured bacterium. RNAcentral describes it as "partial 16S ribosomal RNA". It matches the Rfam family "Bacterial small subunit ribosomal RNA", at positions 524 to 776 of the family's 1533-position model. The record is from RNAcentral.